GGAGGAGUUGUGGCUGCUGCCUGGGGUAUAAAGGCGCAGUGUUGCCGGGAGAGGCUCAUUCAGCUCUCGGGCUUCAGCGGGUUGAGUUCUCUGUGCUGUGCUUUGUGUUUUGUAGCUUUGGAGUCUUGCGGCGUUUUGUGCUGUUGUGCUGGGAUGUUUGCCGUAAUGGAAUCAGCUGAGUGCGGAGCAUCAGGACCUCUCAAGGCUUCCCAGCAGCUCCCACCCGUAAGCACCAAAGAGUCCUCCUCAGCCUCGGGUCUGAGUCAGCUCCCCGGGCAUGGGGCAUUCUGUGCUGCAGGGAACAGAGCGUGCGGGCGACACGGGUCCUGCAUGGACACCUCGUUGCUGCUCUCGUCUGCGUGCGAUCAUCCAGGGUGAGACCAGGGGACAUACUAGGAAGACUGCUUGGGAUGCCUUCCGUCUUCUCCCUGCGUACCAGGAACUCUGUCAUCUGACGCUCCUCCAGAUGGACCUCCUUUCCAGCUGAACUCAAUCACCACUGCACUGAUUUCAGGCCUUGUCCACCUAGGAGUCACAAACGUUUUCUUUUUCGUAUGUUCCUUAACUCUUCUGUGCAGAAAGUGGCAUGACAGUUCAGUCUUGAGUGGCAUCUGAAAUGCAGGUUUCAGCUGAAACCGGUGAUUUACUUGCACUUUUUCUGUGGGGCUGUCUUUCUUGUCCAUGAAAUAUGAUUCCAUUAAAAAAUGUUGACACAAUGUUCCAGCUGUAUCCAGCUUCUAUACCAGCUGUUCUGUAUUUUUAUUUUGCUAGAUUAUGUUGUGUAGGUAAAGCAGCAGUGGUAUUGGUAACAUUCAGAAAUGCUCAUAAGUUCAUACACACGUAGUAAGAUAAGGAUCUCGUCUAUUUUGUCAUGGCAUUUUUCACAUGUUUGCUUCUCAGAAGGACUUUGUUUUAUUCUAUCUUGGUUAAAAAUAAAAACAAACCAAAACUUG
Molecule: long non-coding RNA, 953 nt
Organism: Melopsittacus undulatus (budgerigar)
Lineage: Eukaryota; Metazoa; Chordata; Aves; Psittaciformes; Psittaculidae
Exons: 4
Source: RefSeq, a predicted model, not a curated record